UCCUCUGGCCUCAGCCUUCCAAGUAGCUGGCACUACAGGCAUGCACCACCAUGCCCAGCUAAUUUUUAAAAUUGUUUUGUAGAGAGGUCUCAGCAUAUUGCCCAGGCUGGUCUCAAAUUGCUGGGCUUAAGCAGUUCUGCCUUGGCCUCCCAAAGUGCUGGAAUUAUAGGCAUGAGCCACGGUGCCUAGCCAUGGACCUACUUUUGUCAAGAUUCCCCCCUUGGUACCUCCAGUCUGGAAGGCACCGCAGUGGGAAGUGCGAGGCCCAUGGAGGCAGGGACACGUGCACAGUUCUGGGCCUUGAGGGUGCCGGGCUGGAGGACACUGAUGUACCUGGAGGCUGAGCUUUCUCUUCUGUCCCCAUGUUGGCCAGGCAACCACGAGACAGACAACAUGAACCAGAUCUACGGUUUCGAGGGUGAGGUGAAGGCCAAGUACACAGCCCAGAUGUACGAGCUCUUUAGCGAGGUGUUCGAGUGGCUCCCGUUGGCCCAGUGCAUCAACGGCAAAGUGCUGAUCAUGCACGGAGGCCUGUUCAGUGAAGACGGCGUCACCCUGGAUGACAUCCGGAAAAUUGAGCGGAAUCGACAACCCCCAGAUUCAGGUCCCAUGUGUGACCUGCUCUGGUCAGAUCCACAGCCGCAGAACGGGCGCUCGGUCAGCAAGCGGGGCGUGAGCUGUCAGUUUGGGCCUGACGUCACCAAGGCCUUCUUGGAAGAGAACAACCUGGACUAUAUCAUCCGCAGCCACGAGGUCAAGGCCGAGGGCUACGAGGUGGCUCACGGAGGCCGCUGUGUCACCGUCUUCUCUGCCCCCAACUACUGCGACCAGAUGGGGAACAAAGCCUCCUAUAUCCAUCUCCAGGGCUCUGACCUACGGCCUCAGUUCCACCAGUUCACAGCAGUGCCUCAUCCCAACGUCAAGCCCAUGGCCUACGCCAACACGCUGCUGCAGCUGGGAAUGAUGUGAGGAGGCGGGCGGGGCGGCCUGCACCCCAGGGACCCUCCACUCCCACCGGACCUGGGCCCUGGGCCCGGGGCAGAGCAGGCCCCGCCCCAGGGCAACGUUGGACCCCCUUUUACUUUGUAAAGUUUGUAUUUAUUCCCCUUUAGGUUUGCAGAGGGGGUAGGGGCAGAGUCAGGGGCUGGCCAGAGGGUCUGCUCCCUGGACAGAGAGGAAGGAGGUGGAGCAGCUGGGGCUGGGGGCACAGCCCUGGCAUUCUGUAGGGAGGCCAUCCUCGGGGUGGGGUGGGGCUGAGUGGCUGCCCUGCCCCCCUCGUUUGCAUGGCUCCUCCCCCA
Molecule: small RNA, 1298 nt
Filed under: Pongo abelii (Sumatran orangutan)
Lineage: Eukaryota; Metazoa; Chordata; Mammalia; Primates; Hominidae
Description: retained intron
Source: RNAcentral